GGGCGUGUAGCUCAAUGGUAGAGCAGUGGCCUUUUAAGCCAUUGGUUGAAGGUUCGAGCCCUUCCACGCUCACUA
This 75-nucleotide transfer RNA is filed under the name Chloroflexota bacterium. RNAcentral's name for it is "Chloroflexi bacterium (sediment metagenome) tRNA-Lys". It matches the Rfam family "tRNA". Rfam says of the family: Transfer RNA (tRNA) molecules are approximately 80 nucleotides in length. Lineage: Bacteria; Bacillati; Chloroflexota. The record is from RNAcentral.